Phasianus colchicus (ring-necked pheasant) is the source of this 2527-nucleotide long non-coding RNA. NCBI's taxonomy places the organism in Eukaryota, Metazoa, Chordata, Aves, Galliformes, Phasianidae. The record is from Ensembl.
AGGAAAGGAAAAGGAAAGGCCCAAAUCUGCUGUCACCACUGCAGCUGGAGCAAGAGCAGCCAGCUUUGAAAACAGGGAUCCUGCUGACUCAUGUUUAGAAACCGGGGAAGAGAGCUGCUUUGGUGCCCUGUCUGCCCUGCUCUCAUCUUCAGCCCCAUCUCAUCCUGGGGAUGUAUACGUAAACCCUGGGGUAAAGCAGGCUGCGAGGAUGAAAUGGUGCCAGUGGGGAUGAACCUGCAGCCCAGCCAGCAUUUGCUUUAUGAAGCCACGGGCUGCCCUUCCAACAAAGCAGGAGCAGCACAGUAUCAGCACAGCCCUCUUCAUGUCCAUGAGUGCUGGGAUCCAGGCAGGCAGAUCCUCGUGCCUGCAGGUCUCAUGCGAUUGCCAUUUAACAGCUGCUCCUGGCCUUUGCAUUUACAUGAUGGAAGGAGUGGGCCCCUGACCUGUGUGCUUCCAGAAAGGUGAAGGAGAAGGGAAGAACGAGAGAGAAACCAAAGGAGGAGGUUGCCAGCCCAGGGUGCUGAGAGCUCCCAUGUAACCCAGCUCUGCUGCUAGAUUACACUCUGACCUACACCUUUAUGCACCAUCCACCAGUGUGGUGUCCCACCCGUUCUGCUUGCUGAUGCUGAAAGGCAGGAAGCAGAAGGGAUGCUCCCAAGGGGCUGGCAUCUCUUCAAAUCAGAGACUCUGGCAACUGUUGCCUCACUGAAGAAAUUGCUAUCAUUUUUCUAAGUGGUUGGGUCAAUACAGGGGUGUCACUUGGGAAAUUUGGGAUUUAUUUCUCCCCACCAUCAACCCACUGGGAAUAAGUGACGCAGGCAGGUAGAUCCUCACUCAUAGAGCUGCUGCGGUGAUGAAGAUGAAGCAGUUCAGUACUGGUCCCAGUAAUGAUCCCUGAGGGAUGCCACUGUCAGUGAUCUCCAUCCACUGAGCCACUGAGCUCUGCUCUCUGGGUGGGAUCUCACAACCGUUCCUCAUCCAUUGAACAGCCCGCCUAUCAAAGCUGUACUUCUCCAAGUUAGAGACAAGGAUGUUGUUGGGGCCAAAUGCCUCACUGAAGCCCAAGCAGAUGACAUCAGUGGCUCUUCCAUUGCCCGUGGACACAGUUAUGCCAUCUGGUUGGAAAUGUUGGUUUCAAAUACUUCAAAGUGAACAUUUGGAGUUUUCAUAGCAAGAUGACAGUUUUGGUCCAAAUUGAAUCACACUGAUUUUAUAUAUAUAUAUUUUAUGCUAAUAAGUAAAUCCUCAGGGAAAUCUCUUCCACUCCAAAUGUGGACUGAAGGAAAUUGACAAACUCCAAAUGCUUCUCAGGGCUUUGUUUCUUGCUGCUGUUCGAUUUGAUAUCAUCAGUUUUGGAUAAAAAUGGGGUUUUAUUGGUUAUUUUGGUUAGAAAUGCUGAAAUGUUUCCUAGAGACAAGCCAGGCUCCAAGAAAUUUUCACCUGGGAGAUUAUUGUAGAGUUUAUUUUUAGAUGAUUUUUAGCAGAAGAUUGUUUUUAGAGUUCAUUCUGUAUUUUCUGCCAUUACCCCACCCGCUCCCUCCCUCCCCCCUUUACUCAAUGUGUGGUAAAGAUGGAAGAAAGCCUCUUUUGUGCUGACUGAAAUGCCUUGCACAGCAAGCACCAAAACCCCAGGCUGAGGUGCAGCAAGGGCAGGUGAACACUGUGCAAUGACCUCCCAGCCCAUUUCGUGUUCUGGUUGGGCACAUCUUCAUGUAAAAGCUGCGUUUGAAAUGAAAAGUCCAAGCAUUUCAUUUGCAGAUACACAGAAACGAAGCAUUUUGACUCUCUGUUCUUUUCCCUUUUCGAUCCAAAAGCUGCUCACCUAAUUUGCCUCAGCAAUGGGUUCUGCUGGCGUUUGCUACAAACUCCUUUCAAUAUUCAGUUCCCCCGAGCCCUGGGGAUAGGUUUGCUAUUUCAAAGCCAACCCACUGAGGACCUCAAGGCAGCGGUUGGAGCAAAGCUCACAGCCUCUCCCCUUGGAAAAGCCUUCCAAGUGCAAGUUUUUGGUCUUCAGCGCAGCACAACAAGGGAUAUUUUGGGAGCCAGCUUGUUCUCCUGGUAUCUUUCUUCUCCCUGCCUCCUGCUGCCACUUCGUGGCUUUUAUCUCUCUGCUCUCCCUCCUUUCAUGUCUCUGCUUUGGAGGUGAGAUGUGAUUCUCUGCUCCCCUUUCCAUGUGCCAAAGCCCAGGAGAUGCGCAGCAGCUCUGGGUCCUCUCCAGGGCCUUGUAAACCAUGAAACUGUGGGGAUGCUUGAAGCAAGAAGGACGAAUAUUCAGUGCACCCAGCAUCCUCUGAAUCCACUCAUUCAGUCCCACACUCUUUUGGUGGAGUGAUUUACAUGCUGCCUCUAGGAAGGCUGCAGAGUACUGGCCAGGGCUCGGCCAAUCGAGUACAAAGAUGUGAAUUAUUCCAACUUCAGCUUGAUUUGCUGGUAACCAAGCUCAUGCAGCCUGCGGGAAGAAUUUCAGCAUUGCAGUGUAUCACCAAGUUGCAAUAGCAUUGCAAUAAAAAUAUCAUCCUUGGUUGCA